This 99-nucleotide microRNA precursor is filed under the name Pelobates cultripes (western spadefoot toad). The record is from RNAcentral. Lineage: Eukaryota; Metazoa; Chordata; Amphibia; Anura; Pelobatidae.
CCCCUCCAGAUGUUGCUGAACUACAACUUCCAUGAUUCUCAGCCUAUCUAUUUAAUUAACUGAAUCAUGGGAGUUGUAGUUCAGCAACAUCUGGGGGGG